This 810-nucleotide ribosomal RNA is filed under the name uncultured beta proteobacterium. RNAcentral's name for it is "bacterial SSU rRNA". It matches the Rfam family "Bacterial small subunit ribosomal RNA", at positions 37 to 841 of the family's 1533-position model. Lineage: Bacteria; Pseudomonadati; Pseudomonadota; Betaproteobacteria. The record is from RNAcentral.
UGGCGGCAUGCCUUACACAUGCAAGUCGAACGGCAGCACGGGUGCUUGCACCUGGUGGCGAGUGGCGAACGGGUGAGUAAUAUAUCGGAACGUGCCCUAGAGUGGGGGAUAACGUAGCGAAAGUUACGCUAAUACCGCAUACGAUCUAUGGAUGAAAGUGGGGGAUCGCAAGACCUCAUGCUCCUGGAGCGGCCGAUAUCUGAUUAGCUAGUUGGUGGGGUAAAAGCCUACCAAGGCGACGAUCAGUAGCUGGUCUGAGAGGACGACCAGCCACACUGGGACUGAGACACGGCCCAGACUCCUACGGGAGGCAGCAGUGGGGAAUUUUGGACAAUGGGGGAAACCCUGAUCCAGCAAUGCCGCGUGUGUGAAGAAGGCCUUCGGGUUGUAAAGCACUUUUGUCAGGAACGAAACGGUGGGGGCUAAUACCUCCUGCUAAUGACGGUACCUGAAGAAUAAGCACCGGCUAACUACGUGCCAGCAGCCGCGGUAAUACGUAGGGUGCGAGCGUUAAUCGGAAUUACUGGGCGUAAAGCGUGCGCAGGCGGUUGUGCAAGACAGAUGUGAAAUCCCCGGGCUUAACCUGGGAAUUGCAUUUGUGACUGCACGGCUAGAGUGUGUCAGAGGGGGGUAGAAUUCCACGUGUAGCAGUGAAAUGCGUAGAUAUGUGGAGGAAUACCGAUGGCGAAGGCAGCCCCCUGGGAUAACACUGACGCUCAUGCACGAAAGCGUGGGGAGCAAACAGGAUUAGAUACCCUGGUAGUCCACGCCCUAAACGAUGUCUACUAGUUGUCGGGUCUUAAUUGACUU